UACGUAGGGGGCAAGCGUUGUCCGGAAUCAUUGGGCGUAAAGCGCGUGUAGGCGGCUGGCUAAGUCCGCUCUGAAAGCCCGGGGUUCAACCCCGGGAGGCGGGUGGAUACUGGUCAGCUCGAGUCCGGAAGAGGAGUGUGGAAUUCCUGGUGUAGCGGUGAAAUGCGCAGAUAUCAGGAGGAACACCAAUGGCGAAGGCAGCACUCUGGGACGGUACUGACGCUGAGACGCGAAAGCGUGGGGAGCAAACAGG
Molecule: ribosomal RNA, 253 nt
Filed under: uncultured bacterium
Lineage: Bacteria
Description: partial 16S ribosomal RNA
Rfam family: Bacterial small subunit ribosomal RNA
Source: RNAcentral